AACGAACGCUGGCGGCAUGCCUAACACAUGCAAGUCGAACGAUGCCUUCGGGCAUAGUGGCGCACGGGUGCGUAACGCGUGGGAAUCUGCCUUUCGGUUCGGAAUAACUCAGGGAAACUUGAGCUAAUACCGGAUAACGUCGCAAGACCAAAGAUUUAUCACCGAAAGAUGAGCCCGCGUAGGAUUCGCUAGUUGGUGAGGUAAAGGCUCACCAAGGCGACGAUCCUUAGCUGGUCUGAGAGGAUGAUCAGCCACACUGGGACUGAGACACGGCCCAGACUCCUACGGGAGGCAGCAGUGGGGAAUAUUGGACAAUGGGCGAAAGCCUGAUACAGCAAUGCCGCGUGAGUGAUGAAGGCCUUAGGGUUGUAAAGCUCUUUUACCCGGGAAGAUAAUGACGGUACCGGGAGAAUAAGCCCCGGCUAACUCCGUG
RNAcentral lists this ribosomal RNA (433 nucleotides) under uncultured bacterium. RNAcentral describes it as "partial 16S ribosomal RNA". It matches the Rfam family "Bacterial small subunit ribosomal RNA", at positions 29 to 507 of the family's 1533-position model. The record is from RNAcentral.